GCAGAGUGAUAUUCGGGGGCAGCAGCUUGUACAUCCGGGUCCGUCACUGCGGUGACGUUAAAACUAAGCGUCAGGAGUUUCCCGUGAUCCUUUGCUCCAGCUUGUCCUGACCUCUGUAGUCUGUGUGCUAGAAGACGGAGAGAAAUGGUGCCUCCUGUGCAGGUUUCUCCUCUUAUUAAGACAGCCCGGUACUCGGCUCUGAUUGUGGGGCUCAUCUACGGUAAAAAGCGCUAUGAUUACCUGAAGCCCAUAGCAGCGGAGGAGAGGAGGAUCGAGGAGGAGGAGAAGAAAGUGAGGGAGGAACAGGAACGCAUCGCCAAACAGCUGGCUGAGGCGAAUGAAGACACGAUCCUGAAGUGAGUGCUCUGCAGUGUGUGUGCUGUGAUUAUGGACCCGUUCUGGAGGUCUCGCUGUUCUUCUCUUCACCUUCCUGUACGUUAUUCCUGUGUUAGUAAAACAUCACAAUCCAUGAGCACGUGUUCACCUGCGUGCUUCUUCUCUCACCUCAUGAGUCUGGAGACUGGGAUCAGUUCCUGCCAUCGCCCUGAUCACGAUUAUGUAUAAUUAAUAAAUCAAUAAAUAAAUUCCCUGAA
Long non-coding RNA from Silurus meridionalis, 593 nucleotides. RefSeq lists it as uncharacterized. The record is from RefSeq and is a predicted model, not a curated record. Lineage: Eukaryota; Metazoa; Chordata; Actinopteri; Siluriformes; Siluridae. The transcript is spliced from 5 exons.